Molecule: ribosomal RNA, 477 nt
Filed under: uncultured bacterium
Lineage: Bacteria
Description: partial 16S ribosomal RNA
Rfam family: Bacterial small subunit ribosomal RNA
Source: RNAcentral
AUUGAACGCUGGCGGCAUGCCUUACACAUGCAAGUCGAACGGUAACAGGUUAAGCUGACGCGUGGCGAACGGGUGAGUAAUACAUCGGAACGUGCCCAGUAGAGGGGGAUAGCCCGGCGAAAGCCGGAUUAAUACAGCAUACGACCUAAGGGUGAAAGGGGGGGAUCGCAAGACCUCUCGCGAUUGGAGCGGCCGAUGUCAGAUUAGCUAGUUGGUGGGGUAAAAGCUCACCAAGGCGACGAUCUGUAGCUGGUCUGAGAGGACGACCAGCCACACUGGGACUGAGACACGGCCCAGACUCCUACGGGAGGCAGCAGUGGGGAAUUUUGGACAAUGGGCGCAAGCCUGAUCCAGCCAUGCCGCGUGCGGGAAGAAGGCCUUCGGGUUGUAAACCGCUUUUGUCAGGGAAGAAAUCCUUUGGGUUAAUACCUCGGGGGGAUGACGGUACCUGAAGAAUAAGCACCGGCUAACUACGUG